UAGGGAAUCUUCGGCAAUGGACGAAAGUCUGACCGAGCAACGCCGCGUGAGUGAAGAAGGUUUUCGGAUCGUAAAACUCUGUUGUUAGAGAAGAACAAGGACGUUAGUAACUGAACGUCCCCUGACGGUAUCUAACCAGAAAGCCACGGCUAACUACGUGCCAGCAGCCGCGGUAAUACGUAGGUGGCAAGCGUUGUCCGGAUUUAUUGGGCGUAAAGCGAGCGCAGGCGGUUUCUUAAGUCUGAUGUGAAAGCCCCCGGCUCAACCGGGGAGGGUCAUUGGAAACUGGGAGACUUGAGUGCAGAGGAGGAGAGUGGAAUUCCAUGUGUAGCGGUGAAAUACGUAGAUAUAUGGAGGACCACCAGUGGCGAAGGCGGCUCUAUGGUAUGUAACUGACGCUGAGGCUCGAAAGCGUGGGGAGCAAACAGG
This 429-nucleotide ribosomal RNA is filed under the name Gemmatimonadota bacterium. Its description in RNAcentral is "Gemmatimonadetes bacterium partial 16S ribosomal RNA". It matches the Rfam family "Bacterial small subunit ribosomal RNA", at positions 355 to 776 of the family's 1533-position model. The record is from RNAcentral. Lineage: Bacteria; Pseudomonadati; Gemmatimonadota.